This 775-nucleotide ribosomal RNA is filed under the name uncultured Neocallimastigales. RNAcentral describes it as "partial large subunit ribosomal RNA". It matches the Rfam family "Eukaryotic large subunit ribosomal RNA", at positions 23 to 616 of the family's 3401-position model. The record is from RNAcentral. Lineage: Eukaryota; Fungi; Neocallimastigomycota; Neocallimastigomycetes; Neocallimastigales.
AGAGAGAGACAUGCGCGCAUAUCAAUAAGCGGAGGAAAAGAAACUAACAAGGAUUCCCCUAGUAACGGCGAGUGAAGCGGGAAGAGCUCAAAUUUGAAAUCUUAAAGGGUUUCCCUUUACGAAUUGUAGUUUAAAGAAGUGUUUUCUGUUGAGGUUUUGGUAAAAGUUCUUUGGAAUAGGACAUCAUAGAGGGUGAGAAUCCCGUAUUUGACCUUUACUUUCAACUUUGUGAUACACUUUCAAAGAGUCGGAUUGUUUGGGAAUGCAGUCCAAAAUGGGUGGUAAAUUUCAUCUAAAGCUAAAUAUUGGCGAGAGACCGAUAGCGAACAAGUACCGUGAGGGAAAGAUGAAAAGAACUUUGAAAAGAGAGUUAAACAGUACGUGAAAUUGUCAAAAGGGAAGCGUUUGACACCAGUGUUGUUUUUCUGAAAAUCAAUUAAAGAACUGUUUAUGCUAAGUUGUUUAGACUUUAUCAGCUAACUGUUUAGUUUUGAGCUUUUCUUUAAUGCACUUUUCAGUUUAACAAGUCAACAUCAAUUUCUUUUGCUGUAAAAAAGCUUGAGGAAGGUGGCUUGAGAUUCGUCUUAAGUGUUUAUAGCCUCUUGCCUAUGCAGUCGGAGAGAUUGAGGUCUGCAGCGUAGAUCCUUCGGGGCUAAAUGCAUUUGUGCUAAGUUAUAGCAUUUUAUAGACAACUUGUUGACUAUGAUUUGUCUUGUAGCUUACUCGCUUAUGUUAUUUUACCUACGCUUAGGAUGUUGAGCGCAUGUCUCUCUCU